RNAcentral lists this transfer RNA (83 nucleotides) under bacterium. RNAcentral describes it as "tRNA-Tyr". It matches the Rfam family "tRNA". From Rfam's summary of the family: Transfer RNA (tRNA) molecules are approximately 80 nucleotides in length. Their secondary structure includes four short double-helical elements and three loops (D, anti-codon, and T loops). The record is from RNAcentral. RNAcentral also lists the same sequence under 2 other names.
GGGGAGGUACCCAAGCGGCCAACGGGGGCAGACUGUAAAUCUGCUGGCGUAUGCCUUCGGGGGUUCGAAUCCUCCCCUCCCCA